GCAGACCACAUAAACUUCUAGAGUUAUUUCGUGAACUCUGCAGGAAGAACGAUAUGGAUGAUCAGAUAGGAAAAGCUAUAAAGGCUCUUGGUAAGGAAGAGCUUCAGUUGCUUUUGGAAUAUAUCCGGGAAUGGAACACAAAGCCAAAGUUUUGUCAAAUUGCACAAUAUGUUCUUUCCCGGGCAUACAGUGUUCUCCCAGCUACCGAGAUUGUUGAGGUACCUGGAUAUAAAGAACUUCUUAAUGGUCUUAUUCCUUACACUCAGAGGCAUUUCAAUAGAUUAGAUAGAUUAGCGAGAAGCCUAUGCAUUCUCCAGUAUACUUCAGCUGCAAUGUCGGUCAUUCAGCCAGAAGGUAAUGAGGG
Molecule: unclassified non-coding RNA, 364 nt
Filed under: Hevea brasiliensis (rubber tree)
Lineage: Eukaryota; Viridiplantae; Streptophyta; Magnoliopsida; Malpighiales; Euphorbiaceae
Source: RNAcentral